This 836-nucleotide ribosomal RNA is filed under the name Pseudomonas monteilii. Its description in RNAcentral is "bacterial SSU rRNA". It matches the Rfam family "Bacterial small subunit ribosomal RNA", at positions 62 to 873 of the family's 1533-position model. The record is from RNAcentral. Lineage: Bacteria; Pseudomonadati; Pseudomonadota; Gammaproteobacteria; Pseudomonadales; Pseudomonadaceae.
UCGAGCGGAUGACGGGAGCUUGCUCCUUGAUUCAGCGGCGGACGGGUGAGUAAUGCCUAGGAAUCUGCCUGGUAGUGGGGGACAACGUUUCGAAAGGAACGCUAAUACCGCAUACGUCGUACGGGAGAAAGCAGGGGACCUUUCGGGCCUUGCGCUAUCAGAUGAGCCUAGGUCGGAUUAGCUAGUUGGUGGGGUAAUGGCUCACCAAGGCGACGAUCCGUAACUGGUCUGAGAGGAUGAUCAGUCACACUGGAACUGAGACACGGUCCAGACUCCUACGGGAGGCAGCAGUGGGGAAUAUUGGACAAUGGGCGAAAGCCUGAUCCAGCCAUGCCGCGUGUGUGAAGAAGGUCUUCGGAUUGUAAAGCACUUUAAGUUGGGAGGAAGGGCAGUAAGUUAAUACCUUGCUGUUUUGACGUUACCGACAGAAUAAGCACCGGCUAACUCUGUGCCAGCAGCCGCGGUAAUACAGAGGGUGCAAGCGUUAAUCGGAAUUACUGGGCGUAAAGCGCGCGUAGGUGGUUUGUUAAGUUGGAUGUGAAAGCCCCGGGCUCAACCUGGGAACUGCAUCCAAAACUGGCAAGCUAGAGUACGGUAGAGGGUGGUGGAAUUUCCUGUGUAGCGGUGAAAUGCGUAGAUAUAGGAAGGAACACCAGUGGCGAAGGCGACCACCUGGACUGAUACUGACACUGAGGUGCGAAAGCGUGGGGAGCAAACAGGAUUAGAUACCCUGGUAGUCCACGCCGUAAACGAUGUCAACUAGCCGUUGGAAUCCUUGAGAUUUUAGUGGCGCAGCUAACGCAUUAAGUGACCGCCUGGACCCCCCAUGAAUUACU